This 2049-nucleotide long non-coding RNA is filed under the name Nicotiana benthamiana. RNAcentral describes it as "long non-coding RNA (NBEN_LNC021628)". Lineage: Eukaryota; Viridiplantae; Streptophyta; Magnoliopsida; Solanales; Solanaceae. The record is from RNAcentral.
UUUCCCCUUAUUUUUCUUUUUCUCUCCCCUUUCUUCUUGCUCUUUCUUUUCCUUUUCCUCUCCCGUCGUCGCUGGAAAUCGACCACCGGCGGCGUCCAACCUCCAAACCACCCUAAAAUUUCAUCCUUUCAUCCUCUCAACCUCCUUUCCAUGAAUCCAAACCCCAAAUAUUUUAAAUCCCUCUCAAUCCCCAUAGAGCUAGGCCAAAUUCGAAACCCUAGGCGUCGCUUACCACCCCAAACUUAAAAAAUUUCACACCACUGGCUUCCUCUCAUUCUCCUCUUCUCCAUUCAUGCUCAAAACCUUCAAACCCCUCGAGAAUCUGGCUAAAAUUCGGUUGCAUUCAGGCAGAAACCUUCACUGCUGUCCUCCAACCACGAACCUCUAUUAUUGCUAUUUUCGACUCAAAGACCUUCAUUUCUUUUGGAAAGACGCUGAAACCCCCUUUGUCUUAGCGCUUUCCCGAAAUAAAAGUGCGUUUCGGAGUCAGACAACCACAUUUUGGAAUCUUCAGUGUCUUCUCGCGACUCGAAUAACUUCAAGCACGCUCGUUAGGUAUCUCCGUCAUCUCUACUUAAUUUCUGAUUUUUCGAUGGGUUAUCCAGAUUUUUAGUUUAGUUUCUGAUUUUUCUUUCUUUUUUUGUUUAUUUCUUGUUAAUCAAAGUCUCAGUUUAGGUUUAUUUAAUUAGUUAUCUCUAUUUAGUUUAGUUGUUUACUACUGAUCAAGCGGGAUAUUGGUGUAUUAGCAAAAAUGUUUACUUAGUUAAUCAAUUGUUUAGUUGUUGAAUGUCAUCGUUCCGAUUGUUUACAAUGCUCGUUUAAUUUCUGUAUUGAGCAGUAGUUUGUGAAUACAAUUGUUUUCUAUGCCAGUUUGUACAAAUCAAAUCAAUUUCAAUCUAGCUUGUCUGAAGACUUAGUUCGAUUGCAUCUUGAGUCUUGUUUCCACUUGGCUAGUUCAUAUUUGAUUGGAGUUUGAGUGUAUAAGCUAUAUUUCAAUCAUGUAAAGAUAAAAGCUGAAUACUUGAGUUUAAAGUACGGGUUGUUUGGCAUUUUACUGUUUAAGCAUGCUGAAAAUGCAACUGCUCUGCUUUGUGUCGAAAUUUGGUGAAAAAAUAGCUGUUUUGGCAGACAAAAUUAGUCUUUUUGGACAGAUUUUUGGUGAAUCAAAAUAUCUCCAAGAUGGCUUAUUUUUCCUACUUAAAGAGGUGAUUCUUUCACACUAAGAAGACACUCUAUCUUAUAGGAAGAGAUCAUCUCUCACUCUCUAAAAAUAGAUAUCUUUGAGAGAAAAAAUCCAGCAGCUUAAUAUAGAUAGCAAGCUGAAAUUUCAAAUUUUGGUGAGUAUUAUUUGAAUGCAACAACUCUGACAAAAACUAGAAAGAUCCAUUAGGCAAUGUGUGAAGUUGAUAGCUACAAGUUUCAAGCAUCUUUGUUGAGUUUUCUGGAUUGUCUUAACACUUGAUUUGUUGUUACUUCUACUGUAUUUGCUGCUGAAUUUCUAUUGUUGCACUGCUGUAUUUUAUCAUUCUGCAAACCAGGUAACUUUCAAAUUCUUAUAUUGCAGAUUCUUGAUGGCAAUAAGAAGCAUUUGAUCCCGAUUUGGUUGGUGGAGCAUGCUAGAUUUGAUUUUCUUUCAAGAUGAAUAUCAUAUUGCUGUUAUCAUCAUGUAAAUAUGUUAGAAAUUAGUUAAAUUAUUGUCUUCUUCUUUAUAUACAUGGUUGAAAUUGCAUUUUGUUUACUUAAUUUAAGGAAAAGAUAAAGACUUCAUUUUUUAGCUAUGUUUAUUUUGUUUGGGAUCUUUUAUGUGAGUUACUUUUAAGGUUAAUGUAUAAUCACCUAGGAAAGACUUCUAGCUUCAAAGGUGUUGAUGCUUUACAUUAUAGUCAACACAGAUGUUAUAAUGUGAUUGUUCUCUUUAGCAUUACAGUAUUACCGUUUUUUGUAGUUUUUAACGAUUCGUAAUUAUGAAAGUGGAUUCAAAUACGUAGGGUGUUUACAUUACUAAUGAGUUUGUAGUAUGUUUAGUGUCACGUUGGUAUAAAUGAGAAG